This 471-nucleotide ribosomal RNA is filed under the name Actinomyces sp. oral taxon E75. RNAcentral describes it as "bacterial SSU rRNA". It matches the Rfam family "Bacterial small subunit ribosomal RNA", at positions 28 to 485 of the family's 1533-position model. The record is from RNAcentral. Lineage: Bacteria; Bacillati; Actinomycetota; Actinomycetes; Actinomycetales; Actinomycetaceae.
GACGAACGCUGGCGGCGUGCUUAACACAUGCAAGUCGAACGGUGAAGCGCCUUCCUUUUUGGUGGGUGUGGAUGAGUGGCGAACGGGUGAGUAACACGUGAGUAACCUGCCCCCUUCUUCUGGAUAACCGCAUGAAAGUGUGGCUAAUACGGGAUAUUCUGGGUCUGUCGCAUGAUGGGUCUGGGAAAGAUAUUGUUUCGGUGGGGGAUGGGCUCGCGGCCUAUCAGCUUGUUGGUGGGGUGAUGGCCUACCAAGGCGGUGACGGGUAGCCGGCCUGAGAGGGUGGACGGUCACACUGGGACUGAGACACGGCCCAGACUCCUACGGGAGGCAGCAGUGGGGAAUAUUGCACAAUGGGCGCAAGCCUGAUGCAGCGACGCCGCGUGAGGGAUGGAGGCCUUCGGGUUGUGAACCUCUUUCGCCAGUGAAGCAGGCCUGCCUCGUUUGUGGGUGGGAGGACGUAGCUGAUAA